Fukomys damarensis (Damara mole-rat) is the source of this 1202-nucleotide long non-coding RNA. RefSeq lists it as uncharacterized. NCBI's taxonomy places the organism in Eukaryota, Metazoa, Chordata, Mammalia, Rodentia, Bathyergidae. The transcript is spliced from 3 exons. The record is from RefSeq and is a predicted model, not a curated record.
GGAAAGUCUUUUCAUAUCAACGUUUUUGUCUCCUCUGCAAAGUCCUCUCUGCCUUGUAAGGUGUUUCUUCCUGUUUAUGGUGCCUUGAAUGAACAAUGGAAGUGGCCACACAGAGCUGAAGCUGCUUUGCUGAAAAGUAUAUAAAAAUUGUGUUGCAAGUGAACAUGGAGGCCGCUCCUGAGGCCAAAAAGUCCUCUGAUUCAGGCCACCCUGUGGCUUGAAGGAGCCAAAGGGAGUAAGAGCUUCGGCCAAGAAAAGACCACAAGAGAAGAGCAAGGUACAGAAUGCAAGGGUUUAUCUAGCACUUACCGCAUUCACAGCAAGAUGGAGGGGGUCAAGAAGUCGGAGGUGGCACCACCAUUACAGAACCUUUCUUCCACCCUGCAACAGCACUGCGAGCACGGGGUGGGGGUCCAGCCCGCAGCACUCACGAGAUCUGGAGGCCGAUGCAGCCCAGCGUGGAGGGUUCUGGACGGCAGAGUGAGGAUCCCAACAGCUGUGGAGCGCCAGCAGCAGGUCUGCUGAAAACAGUGUGGAGCAAAGUCCACCAGCACUGAGUCAGAGGCUGAGUAGGACAGCAGCCAGAGGCUUCCUCUUCUAUGCUGUGAGGAGUUUGCUACAAACAACAUGUGUCGAUUUUAUGGUGGUGAAAAUAUAUUUUUAUUUAUGGUAAAAAUAUAUCGUUUAGAAAGCAUUUAUUUUUUCAAAGUUUCUCAAAAGGAGUUCACGAAGUACGUUUGGCAGGCAGACUAUGUGUAUCACACCUUAUGGUUAGCACACAAGUAGUCACACAGGUGCACAGGUUGGAUGGUUAUCACACCGGUCACACACGAGUUUAGACUCAGAGAGUUAAGUUGGGAACCAGUCAGAAGCUUAAGAUGGCAUCAGUCCUGCUCUCAUCAAAGUGGCACAAAGAAAACCUAUGGAAUUUACCACCCUUAGGUUCUGGGGCCUCUAGAUAGGUUGCUUUCCUCUACCCAUCUUUCACCCUCUUCUGAUGUUUGGUUCAUAUGUAAUGUCAGGAGUUUUCCUUGUGCUUAGAGUGAAGAGUGGGAAAACCUAUGUCUACCCCAUAUUGCCAGAAGUGGUCAUGAAGCUUGGCUUUAAAUAAAUGCUCCUCUUUAGAUCUUCGUGUAACAUCAUUCUUAUUAGACCCCUUUCUUGAGGCAAUUGAUUAUUAGAAACAUGUAUUUGUUUCCCCU